CGCCAACCGCCACUUUUCAUUCUCAGCAUCGCACGUCAUCGGCGAAGAGGGUGCAGAACCUGCGGUGGCUGCGGACACCUUUUCGCUUUCUAGCUUCUCCACUAUAUCGGUGGUGGCGCUGUUCCCAUGUCACUGCCUCGUGUAGAAAUCAGCGUGGAGUUGGGGGCCGACACGCCGGAUCACUCCCGUACCGACUACCCCUUUAACCGCAGCCGCCGCGACAGCCUGGCGAGCUCGCGCUUUAGCAGCCGCCUCAGCCGGCGCUCCAGCGUGCGCGAUGAGGUGCAGUCGCUCGAUGAGUUCCUGCGAAAGCAGCGCGUUAUUCGGUACAUGCAGGAGGAGCGGGAGCGUGCGGAGCGGUCGAAGCUGCUGCGCGAGGAACAUGACUUCUGGGUCGAGUUCCGCGAUCGUGAGCGUGCGGAGCGUCUGAAGUACAUGACAGAGCAGGAGAUCGUGGAGCUGCUGCAGAGGGAGGCGGACGAGGCGACGCGUGAAAGCAACCGCGCUGACCAGUUCCACCAGCGGGCCAUGGAGGAUGCGCUGCGGCGCCGCCACAUCACGGCGGAUGUGCAGCGUGGGGAGGAAGAUAGUGCGCUGGCGCGUCUCAAGGGCGAGGUGCAGGUGGAUGGUAUUCGACUCGCUGCUGAGCGGGAGACCUCGGUGAUGGUAGAGGCCAUGACAGUGGCAGAGCGCACGCGGCGCCCCUGCAUUGAGCGCCAGCAGCGCGAAGAGGACUUGACAGCAAAGUGCCAGCAGCUGACGACGGAGCUGGAGGAAGCUAGGGCUUCUGCCACGCGAGCUCAACGAUACCAGAAGCGCGCCGAAGACGAUCUGACACGGGAGCGAGAGAAUACGCGGAAAGAGAAGACCACCGCAGCAGCCUGCAAGGAGGCCAACGACAAACUCUUGAAGGAGCUAGCCGAGGUGCGGCAGCAACUCACAGCCUCUGAGGCAGAGAGGAAGAAGGCGGAGGCUGCAAAGGCGCAGGCUGCGCGGGAGGUUGCGCAAAAGGAGGAGGAGCUCACCAGUCUGAGGAAACGCAACGACGAGCUAUCGGCGCAGCAGACAUCGCAGAAGGCCGCCGCCGAGGACGAGAAGCAGCGCGCAUUUCCGUUUCAGGAAGAGCUGAAGGCGUAUAGGGAUGCACUGGACAAGGAGCAGGCAGCGCGAAGCAGGGCUGAGACCGAGGUGGCGGCGCUGCGGGCGCAGGCAAAGGCGCUCGAGGCGAGGGUGGCUGCCGCGAGUGCGCCCGACCCGAAACAGGUGGCAGAUAACAUGCGGAAACUGAAGGCCGUCGCCGACGACGCCCGCAAGGCGCAGGCCGACCUCGUAAAGGAGCGCCAGGCGCGCGAGAGUGCCGAGGCUGUCGCGGCGGAGGCGAGAGAUGCCCUAGCUAAGGAGCAGGCGGCGCGCGAGAAGGUAGAGAAGGAAGCACAGAGGGCGCUGGCGGCGUCAAGUGUUCCAGUACUACAUGUGCAAAAGGCCGAGUCUGAUCGCAAAAAGCUAGCUGAGGCGGAGAAGAAGCUGGAGGAGAUGCGGAGGGCACGGAACAGGGACGAGGUUGAGAAGGCCGCACUGAAGCGGGAGAUGGAGAAGGUGAAGAGGGAUCUCGAAGAUGAAGCCAGUGCGCGGGCUCAGUUUGAGCAGCUUGCAUCGCAAGCCGUCAGCGCAGACGAUCGCGUUCCACGGAGGGAGGUGGACCAGCUGCGAAAGGCGCUGCAGAUCUCGCAGGAGCAAUGCGACGCAGCACGAAGGGACACCGUUGCAUGCCAGCAGAACGCAGCACGCGAGGUCGCCUUACUCAAGGCUUGGUGCGAGCGCCUGCAGCAGCAGCAUCGCAUGCAGCAGCAGCUGUUGCAAAGUGAUGAGGAGUUCACCCCGCGGACGGCAACACCAACGCCACACUCUCGCACACCGCGCUCUGUGCGGAAGCGUAUCCCACAAGACCUCGCGGCUGAUCAGCGGCAGGCGGAGGAGAUGGCGGCGAGCGACCAGCGCAUCCGCGAACUGGAGGCACACGUGGCGCGGCUGCAGGCGGACCUGGAGAGGAGCAAGGACCAAGAAAGGAAGGCGGCCGCAGAAGCGGAGCAGGCGCGUAAGGCGCUCAAAGCGUCCACCGCCACCUCCAAGCCUGAUUCGUCGAAGCCGUCGCCGGGCCCAUCUGAGCGUGGUGCCGCGAAGCAGCAGGAGGCCAAAGAGAGGGCAAUGCUGCAGCGGUUGGACGCCUUGGAGAGGGACUGCGCGGAGGCGCAAAGAAAGUACGAUGAUCUCGUUGUGGCCCACAGGCAGUCAGAGGCCGCUCGCUGUGAGGCGGAGCUGCAGGUUGCGGCGCAGCGGGCGCAGAUCGAACAACGGCAGAGGGAGGAGCCUCAGUCGUACACUUCAGCGUUGGGGAACUAUGAAACGUCGCGCUCGGAGCCGAUGCCAGCGACUGCUGGUGAGAGCACGAGCGCACUCGAGGAGCGCAUCAAGGAGCUGGAGCGGCACCUAACAGAGGAGCGCGUGGUUCGACAGGCCGCUGAGAGGCGCGCAGAGGAGCUUCAGAAGCUGUGUGCUGCGCCAGGGGCUGACGCCAAGUCUGCAGCGAAGCAGGCGGAGGCGAAUGUUUCCUCAAGUGGUGCAGGCGCCAAAUGCAAGCCCCAGAAGGCGAAGAGCGGGUGCUGCUAGUGCAGUAUGCUUUCUCUCGACUUUUCAUUGGUGCUAAGCGCAGACAACGAGAGGGCGAACGUUUGGGCCGCAAUCUCUGUGCGGCUUUGCAGUUUUCCUUCUCGAUGACGCGUUUCUUGUGUAGUAGAGGACAGCAGCGUCCCUCCUAAGCGCUGGUAGGUCCAUCGGUGGAGUUCCCCUCUUCCAAGUGCACUGUAGUCCCGCUUUCCCCUGCAGCGGUGUGUGUGUGUGUGCUGGGGGGGUAGGGGAGGGGUGCGAAACAUGUGCCAUUGCAGCACGUAGGCUCGGUCAUGACGACUCAUGCUUGCCAUCUCCGUAGCGCCUCCCCCUUUGUUCUAUGUGUACGUGUUUCUUUCUCGCACAGGAACACUCAGCCCAGCGAGCACACGCAUCGUCUAUCCCUCUUUCACGUAGGGCGAUGCUCUUCUUUUUCUUAGUUGCCUUCUACGCCGCCUCUCCCCCGUCACCCUUACUCAAGCCGUAACGUUAGAUUUUUUCUCCCUUGCUUAUCCCCAUCAUUGUGUACUAUGUCGUUUCUGUAUAUAUAUAUAUAUAUAUUCGCUAUACUGUAGACCUUUGCCUGCCGCCACUGCACGUGAAAAAGGUGCAGCCGCCUUAGAUCACCUUCUUCUGUGCACGCACCGUAGUGCUUCAGGUGAUUUUUGGCCGUGUGUGUUGUGCAGGAAACUCCUCGGUGUGCGGCAAUCCAAUGCUGAUCACGUUGGCGACGUUAUCGUUGUUGACAUUCUCAGUGGCGCGUGUGCGUUUUUGU
This 3439-nucleotide unclassified non-coding RNA is filed under the name Leishmania donovani. RNAcentral describes it as "gene:LdHU3.31.5500(CDS-product:hypothetical_prote in_conserved)". The record is from RNAcentral. Lineage: Eukaryota; Euglenozoa; Kinetoplastea; Trypanosomatida; Trypanosomatidae.